This is a long non-coding RNA of Hemiscyllium ocellatum (epaulette shark), 314 nucleotides long. RefSeq lists it as uncharacterized. NCBI's taxonomy places the organism in Eukaryota, Metazoa, Chordata, Chondrichthyes, Orectolobiformes, Hemiscylliidae. The transcript is spliced from 2 exons. The record is from RefSeq and is a predicted model, not a curated record.
UGCAUUGAUAACGGGGCGAUGAUAGCCCAUGCCGGGUGGGAGAUGUUCCGGGUCGGACACGUGACCCCUCUGGAGGAUUCCUGGAUCACGCAGAGGUUCCGAACCGACGAGGUGGAGGUGACGUGGAGGGAUUGACCGACCCUCUGAUGUCACGGCAAGAGAGCGAGAGCCAUCUGUGAGGUGUGUCCUGAACGUUUCGGAGUGUUUUUCUAAUCAGCGCCCCCUGCUCUGACACCUUCCUUCAGCGAAGGAGGAGGAAGACUCAAAUUGUUGUCUAUUUCUCUCUUUUAAAAAUAAAUCCCUGGAAAUGUUUA